GACGAACGCUGGCGGCGUGCCUAAUACAUGCAAGUCGAACGCUGAAGGAGGAGCUUGCUUCUCUGGAUGAGUUGCGAACGGGUGAGUAACGCGUAGGUAACCUGCCUGGUAGCGGGGGAUAACUAUUGGAAACGAUAGCUAAUACCGCAUAAGAGUAGAUGUUGCAUGACAUUUGCUUAAAAGGUGCAAUUGCAUCACUACCAGAUGGACCUGCGUUGUAUUAGCUAGUUGGUGGGGUAACGGCUCACCAAGGCGACGAUACAUAGCCGACCUGAGAGGGUGAUCGGCCACACUGGGACUGAGACACGGCCCAGACUCCUACGGGAGGCAGCAGUAGGGAAUCUUCGGCAAGGGACGGAAGUCUGACCGAGCAACGCCGCGGGAGUGAAGAAGGGUGUCGGAUCGUAAAGCUCUGUUGUAAGAGAAGAACGAGUGUGAGAGUGGAAAGUUCACACUGUGACGGUAGCUGAACAGAAAGGGACGGCUAACUACGUG
Molecule: ribosomal RNA, 495 nt
Filed under: uncultured bacterium
Lineage: Bacteria
Description: partial 16S ribosomal RNA
Rfam family: Bacterial small subunit ribosomal RNA
Source: RNAcentral